UACGGAGGGUGCAAGCGUUGUUCGGAAUCACUGGGCGUAAAGCGCGUGUAGGCGGCUAUCUAAGUCUGAUGUGAAAGCCCUGGGCUCAACUCAGGAAGUGCAUUGGAUACUGGAUAGCUGGAGUACCGGAGAGGAAGGUGGAAUGCUUGGUGUAGAGGUGAAAUUCGUAGAUAUCAAGCAGAACACCUGCGGCGAAGGCGGCCUUCUGGACGAUGACUGACGCUGAGACGCGAAAGCGUGGGGAGCAAACAGG
Molecule: ribosomal RNA, 253 nt
Filed under: uncultured bacterium
Lineage: Bacteria
Description: partial 16S ribosomal RNA
Rfam family: Bacterial small subunit ribosomal RNA
Source: RNAcentral